UGGCUGAUGAUGAAUGUUCUCUAAGAUCUUAGCGGAUUUCAGUGAGGCUUUCUGGUCUAUGAUCUUAAAAUUGUUGUUACACACACUGAAGCCU
Molecule: small nucleolar RNA, 94 nt
Organism: Zingiber officinale
Lineage: Eukaryota; Viridiplantae; Streptophyta; Magnoliopsida; Zingiberales; Zingiberaceae
Product: small nucleolar RNA R11/Z151
Exons: 1
Source: RefSeq, a predicted model, not a curated record